Lycium barbarum (goji berry) is the source of this 2617-nucleotide long non-coding RNA. RefSeq lists it as uncharacterized. The transcript is spliced from 2 exons. Lineage: Eukaryota; Viridiplantae; Streptophyta; Magnoliopsida; Solanales; Solanaceae. The record is from RefSeq and is a predicted model, not a curated record.
UUUUGUCCCUCAAAUUGGUGGUCUUUAAUUUUUGUCCUUCACUAAAAAUACUUUGAUUUCGGAUUAAAACCCCUGCUCAGUAAAAAAUAAAAAAUAAAAAAAUCGCAAGGCUGCAAAAUUCUACCUAAACUCUACCUUAGGUAGAGUUUUCCAUGCUUCAAGUUGCCUUAAGGCAGACUUUUGCCUGAAGGUAAAGUUCUGCUUCUGCCUUAAAAUUCUGAAUGAAUUUCAAGGUAAUAUCUAUCAAGAAAAUGAUAAAGGCCGAAUGAAUUCAAUUCCGCAAUCACUCAGCUGACCAAGAGAUGCUAACAAUGAGAUGAUGCAUUAUCAUUUAGUUGCAUGAAUGUUCGUAUCUGUAGCUUCAUGACGAGAUAUCAUGUUACGUACCGUAUUUUUAUACAUUGGGACAACCCGGAUUAACUAUGACAAUUAAGGGCCAAGACUAUUCCGGGAUUUGACGUCGGGACUUUUGACCAUUUGAUUUUAUUUUGAGACAUAAGUUGAAUAUGAAAUUGAUGGCAUUGGACACUUAGGAAAAAUUGGGACCACAAUUCAUAAAAUUGGAAUUUAAAAGUCUUGCACCAAAAGCCAUGGUGGCCGUGUGGACUUGAAAUGGUCCCACACAUUGUGUGGCCAAUUUUAAUUGGUCCAACACAUGUGUGGGCCAUAAACAAAGGGAGAUAUUUGUGGAUAAAAAAAAAAAAAAAAAAAGACUAAGUCAUCUUUCUCAUUUCCCACUUCUACACUUAGAGAAAAAUAACAAGACUUGGAGAGCCUCCACUCCCCCAUGGUUCUCGGCCACAACCAAGAAAAAUCAAGUCCCAUUUUUGCCUCUCUAAAAUUAUUUCUUUGGUAUAAACCCACUAUUUGGAGGUCCCUAAGUAGCGUGGAAGUAUUGUUUGGGUCAUUCAACCACUCAUUUUUCCCAUUUACAAACCCUAGCCUAUUGGUGGAUUGAAGAAUAAAGGUGAGUUCUAAUCUUGUUUUUGGAGUUAUAAAUGUUGUAUGCAUAUUGUAGUAUGCUAAAAUGGAUAAAAAUCAUGAAAUAUGGAAUGUUGAAGUUGGGUCUUGUGUUGGGUGUGUUGACCGUGUGAAGUAUAUGUGUGUGGUGUGGUAUUGGGUUGACGAAUUAAUUGCUUGUAGCAUAUUGAUUGUCGUAGAGUGGAGAAGAGAAUAAAAAUCAUCGAUACAUGUAUAUGUGUAGUGUAGCCGUGUAUAUAGCCUCCAAAUGGUAGCAAAGAAUGAAUUAAUAUCGCUUAGCGUCGUAAUGGUUGUUGUGAUGAUUUGUAUGUUGGAAAUGAGAGUUAAAUGUCCCGAAUUGAUAUAGUAAGCGUUGCGGACUGAUUUGGAGAACUUUGUGCAUUUAAUGCAAUCCUUAUAUAUGAGAACCAUUAACAUAUGAAUAUGUGUAGUGUGAAUGAAUGUGAGUCAUAGAUUAUGCCGAAUAUCGCAUUAUUAUCGCUUAAGCGCUUUCGUGUCGUCGUUACGAAUUUUAGUUUGGAAUUGAGCAUUUAAUGACUUAAGAUUGAUGUUGAGAUUGUACGGGCUGAUUUGAGGGUUAUUGUGCGUUGAUGUAAUUUGUAUAUUUUAUGAAAAUGGUAUCGUUAUAUUGUGAAUUGUGAUACAAAACAUGAAUUGAAAGUCGGAAGUGUGCCCAGUGGGCUGCUCACGGGUAGGGGCUGUUUUCGGCCAAAAAUUUGGAGAAAUUGUGGAUUGUUGGAAAAAUUAUGUGAAUUUUUUAGAAUGUUCUUGAAUGUUGUUAGUAUGGGUUUGGGUUAAUAAUCGAAUGUACGAACGAUAUUGUGGCUUGAAAGUAAGCCAUUGAAUUGAAUAAUUGGAAAGUUGUCGAAUGGUGUAAAAGAGAGCUACUAUUAUUAUUUUGCCUUUCGAAUUGAUUAUCGAUGUUGCUAGGUUGGUUAUUGUGGUUGUUGUUGUUGAUUUUGAGCGAGUUAAAUUCUCGGGAUGGCCUAUUUAUAGGGGAAAUGCUGCCGAAUUUUCUGUAGAAUUUAAUGUUAGUUGGAAUAAAUGGCUUAAGUGCCUAUGUUUAAUAUUGGAUAUUCGUUGGCAUAUUUGUAGACCUUGGGGAGCCCGAGGCGUAGAUUGGAAUUUACUUUAUAUUGGCCAUCUUGGAGUGCGUACGAGGUACAGACGCACAGUUUGGUGAUCUACCCAUUUAGGACACCCUAUUCUGCUGUUUGGAGUGCUCUUCUCAUUUCAGAGCACACAUUUUGGUAUAUAUUCGUUCGCCAUGUAUAUAUGUAUUUGUUCAGGGGCACGGCGGGGCCCUGUCCCGCCAUAUGAUUCGGUUUGUCUGUUUAGAGGUCUGUAGACGUAUUUGUGGGUGUGUGUGCCUACUUCUGUACGGAUGUGUUUGCAUGACUCUAUUCGUUAUGGCAGCCUCGUCGGCGUGCAUUUUGUAUAUGUUUGUGGCAGCCUUGUCGGCGUGCAUUUGUAUAUGCGUUUUGGGCCGUUGUGCCAUUUGACAGCCUUGUCGGCUUUUGACAUAUUUGAUAGCCUUGCCGGCUUUUUGAUAUAUGUGCAUAUGUUCGGCGAUGUAUAUUCCGCCGCCUCUUCUGAUUCUGAUAUAAUGUUUUGUACGCGCAAUCGCGCAAGAUAA